AAUCAACGCUGGCGGCGUGCCUCAGACAUGCAAGUCGAACGAUUAAAGCUCUCUUCGGAGAGUGUAUAGAGUGGCGCACGGGUGAGUAACACGUAAGUAAUCUACCUUUGAGUGGGGAAUAACCCGGGGAAACCCGAGCUAAUACCGCAUAAUGCAGCGGCACCGCAAGGUGACAGUUGUUAAAGGAGCAAUCCGCUUAAAGAGGAGCUUGCGGCAGAUUAGCUAGNGGUAAGGUAAUGGCUUACCAAGGCUUCGAUCUGUAUCCGGCCUGAGAGGGCGGUCGGACACACUGACACUGAAUAACGGGUCAGACUCCUACGGGAGGCAGCAGUCGGGAAUUUGGGCAAUGGGCGAAAGCCUGACCCAGCAACGCCGCGUGAAGGAUGAAGUAUUUCGGUAUGUAAACUUCGAAAGAAUGGGAAGAAUCAAUGACGGUACCAUUUAUAAGGUCCGGCUAACUACGUGCCAGCCGCCGCCGUAAG
RNAcentral lists this ribosomal RNA (482 nucleotides) under uncultured bacterium. RNAcentral's name for it is "bacterial SSU rRNA". It matches the Rfam family "Bacterial small subunit ribosomal RNA", at positions 32 to 524 of the family's 1533-position model. The record is from RNAcentral.